Molecule: transfer RNA, 69 nt
Filed under: Ovis aries (sheep)
Lineage: Eukaryota; Metazoa; Chordata; Mammalia; Artiodactyla; Bovidae
Rfam family: tRNA
About the family: Transfer RNA (tRNA) molecules are approximately 80 nucleotides in length. Their secondary structure includes four short double-helical elements and three loops (D, anti-codon, and T loops).
Source: Rfam by way of RNAcentral
CCUGGUGGCUCAGAGGUUAAAGCAUCUGCUUGGAAUGCAGAAGACUGGGGUUCGAUCCCUGGGUCAGGA